GGACCGCCCAAACGGGGCUAAGGCCAUACGGACAGCCGGGUCCACUGCCGA
Non-coding RNA from Faecalibacterium prausnitzii SL3/3, 51 nucleotides. Lineage: Bacteria; Bacillati; Bacillota; Clostridia; Eubacteriales; Oscillospiraceae. The record is from Rfam.